CAGUAUCCGCGGUAAUACAGAGGGUGCGAGCGUUAAUCGGAUUUACUGGGCGUAAAGCGUGCGUAGGCGGCUAAUUGAGUCGGAUGUGAAAUCCCCGAGCUUAACUUGGGAAUUGCAUUCGAUACUGGUUAGCUAGAGUGUGGGAGAGGAUGGUAGAAUUCCAGGUGUAGCGGUGAAAUGCGUAGAGAUCUGGAGGAAUACCGAUGGCGAAGGCAGCCAUCUGGCCUAAUACUGACGCUGAGGUACGAAAGCAUGGGGAGCAAACAGGAUUAGAUACCCGUGUAGUCCCUGUCUCUUAUAC
Molecule: ribosomal RNA, 301 nt
Filed under: uncultured bacterium
Lineage: Bacteria
Description: partial 16S ribosomal RNA
Rfam family: Bacterial small subunit ribosomal RNA
Source: RNAcentral